Molecule: ribosomal RNA, 468 nt
Filed under: uncultured bacterium
Lineage: Bacteria
Description: partial 16S ribosomal RNA
Rfam family: Bacterial small subunit ribosomal RNA
Source: RNAcentral
GACGAACGCUGGCGGCGUGCUUAACACAUGCAAGUCGAACGGAAAGGCCCUGCUUUUGUGGGGUGCUCGAGUGGCGAACAGGUGAGUAACACGUGAGUAACCUGCCCUUGACUUUGGGAUAAAUUCAGGGAACUGGGGCUAAUACCGGGUAGGAGAUCCUGCUGCAUGGGGGUGGUUAGAAAGUUUCGGCGGUUGGGUAUUGUCUCGCGGCUUAUCAGCUUGUUGGUGGGGUAGUGGCUUACCAAGGGUUUGAAGGGUAGCCGGCCUGAGAGGGUGAACGGCGACAUUGGGACUGAGGUGAGGCACAGACUGCUACGGGAGGGCGAAGGGGGGAAUAUUGCCGAAUGGGCGGAGGGCGGAUGCAGAAACGCCGCGGGCGGGAUGACGCUCUUAUGGGUGUAAAACGAUUGUGCAUGUGACGAAGCGCGAGUGAAGGUAAUGGGUAAAGAAGCACCGGCUAACUACGUG